CUACCAAGUAAUGUUUGUCUUUAAUGAAUUAAAUAUCUCUUUAAAUAUAUUUUUGUGAAUUUAUCGAGAAUAUUUACAGUAAAAAUAUGUGAACAAAGUAUUGGACAAUGAUAAAAUUUCUUGACAUACUUAAAUAUUUGGUCGCUAUUUACAGUUAAAAGCAUAACAAUUAAUUCGCUAACUGUACAUGCAUGUUUUAAAUAGUUCACUAUGAAGAAUGCACCUUGCGACGCACACGCGUAAAAACGCACAAGUUGUUACAAAUUUGUUCAGAAGCGGUCGACAAGUUGUCUUCGCACUGUUUGUUCCCCAGGGGCGGAUCCAGGGGGUGGCAAGCGUGGCUUGAGCCACGGUCAGAUUUUUGACUAAAUCGUCAUGUUCUCUAACUUGGUCUAUAUAAGGACGAAGCGAUCGGCGAUCGUUUAUAUUUAUACACAUAAACGCGUCCCAAAUCUUUUAAAUUUAAACAAAUACAUACUCGCAUCGUUAUAUCUUACUGUUAUUUGAUUUUCAACAAAAUCGCGAAAUAAAAACGUAAAUAUAUCAAAAGAUGUAAUUCCUGAACUGUAAAAGGUUCAAAACCUCAGGAAAACCCCUCAAAAACGCUUGUCGAGGAGGUAGGGAAAACCCCUCAUUUGCUGAAGUUGAAUGUUUGCUACGACGAUAACCGAGAACUACUCGAAGUUCAUCAUUUUUAGUUCGGAAAAUGUUCGUAAAAUGCGACUGCGAUUUUGAGCCACGGUCCGCGGUUCGGAUGUUACUAAAUAUAGUAACUUCUUGCCACUUUGAGCCACGGUGGAGCGUGUCAAGCCAAUCACAGACCGAGAUUUUAUCAUGUGAGCCACGGUGAGCCACGGUGGCCAUGUUUUUG
Molecule: non-coding RNA, 871 nt
Organism: Paramuricea clavata
Lineage: Eukaryota; Metazoa; Cnidaria; Anthozoa; Malacalcyonacea; Plexauridae
Source: the annotation of a GenBank genome assembly